GGCACAGACAGGCUAUUCGGAAAGGGGAAGUUGUCACAGCAUGUGUUUCCUCUCCUUGAAAUAGAGAAGACGUUUCUGUUAUAAUAUUCUCUUUCAUCUACACUGAACUGAACAUUCAUCUCAUGGCAUUGUUAAUAGGGAGGUCCAUAUGGCUGCAAUGAAAUUUUAUUUGAUAUUUAAUCUUUUAGAUAUGUAUGUAUCUUAAUAUGGGACAGUGCGUUUUAUAGUGCCAUCUGACCAUUUGCGCUUGAGUAAUUUCAGCAGUUUUAUAAGGUCGAAUGAUGAGUUUGAAUGUACAGGACUGAGGAGAUAACACCGGCCAAAGUCCGUGGGACUUGUCUUGUUCACUUGCUUGUGUGUGCAGUCUUUGAUGUUUCUGCGGAUGAUUGGUAGCAUUUUGCUGAGGCUUAACAUUUCUUGUACCCCAUGAGCUGGCUUGGACUGGCCAAAAUGUUCUCACUCUGUCAUACCAGAGGAAGUAGUGUUAUUUAAUUUUGUGUCUUUCACUGAUAUGUUAGCGUUGUCGUUAAGGACAACUUGGACCACAAAGAAUGGUUGGGUUGGUUUUUUUUUUGUUUUGUUUUGGGUUUUUUUGAUAGUUUUUUUUAAACCCUUCUAACUAAAAACACAUUUUAGCAGAUUUUUUUUAAACCCAUUAACUCCUAUGAAAUCGUUUCUUUUAUUAUCAUUAUUAUUAUUAUUAUUUUACUUCAGUAGUAUAUAUUUUGUUAUUUUGGUUGCUUGGGGUCAAGUUAACAUAUUGUUUGUUUUUGUUUUGUUUUUUCAACUUGUUAGCUAACAGUUGUUUUACAUACCCAGUCGUCACAGUGGAUCAUUUACACUGGUGUUACAUUUUCUGUGUACACAAAUAUGCGAGCUUCUGAGUAACAUAAAAUUUGCCUUCAGCCAACCAGCAAGUUUGUCGUGACUGCGUGGAGAUGUUUGUUUUCUUGUUAUGCAUGGCCAAAGAAUUGGAGAGUAUAAGGUCUGUUUGACUUCUUUCAGCACUGUUUUGGUCUCUACCAACUGCUGGAUGAAAUAGCUGUCUCUAUAUCCAGCUGCAGAUGGUGCCCAAGCAAAGCUACUUUAGCGCUAACAUUCCUGUCAGGAUAGGUAAACAGUUUGCAUUCUGCAAAGGCAAAUAAAGCCUCAGCGAGCUUUGGGUGAUAAAACUCUUUCAAUCAUUUGCUAAAAGCAUCCCUCUCACUGCUGCAUUGUUUUUAUUUCAUACAUUGCUAUGAUGAUAAUAAUACAGCCAGUUUAAAUAUUCAAAGCAGGUAAAAUAAGUAUUAUUUAUGAAAAGUUUAAUCCACAAAAUUUUUGCUAAUUUGCUUCUUCACCGGGAAUUUGUAAGUUUGUGUUGACCACUACUUUGAGAAGAUCACCAUAUAGAAAAAUCCAGACAUGUGCACCUUUUGAAAUGGCUGAUCUUUUCUAACUUUGGCAAAAAAAUGUGCAAAAGCUAAUAAAACUAUUAGGAGAGGAAAGUUUUCCAGGACCUGUUUAAAGGAUGAAUUCCACUUAAGGAAAGGCAUUAACUCCAAACAAGAGUUUUCCAGCAUGCUCUUCCUCCAGCUCUUUCUGGAAAAGGUACACCGUAAAUUGAAAAUGGCAAGCUGCACUUACAGAUUAGCCAAUAAAACAUUGUCUUAGCUGCUGUGAUUUAUGUGACACAGCUGGAACAUGGAAAAGGCUAUUUAAAUGUGUUGGGUGUCCAUGUUGCUUGUUGAUUUUUUUUUCCAAGUUGGACCAGUGGAACAUGGGAAGGUUGUAAUUACAGGCAAGCAGCUGGGAAAUUCCAAAUUGUGACCAAAACUCCAAAGCUGUAUAUUUUUUUCAAACAUGCAUAGUUCAUGAGAUAUUAAGUCUGAGGAUACAUUGAUGUUAUAAUGGAGUAGUCCUUUAGAGUUCCCCAUGUUGCCUGUAUAGCCUUUUGAGAAUCAGAGGAUUUUCUAUAAGUUGUAUUAAAUUUUAUUUUUUUUUACUUUGUUAGCUGCCUCUACACUAUAUACAGGCAAAACCAGAUAAAAUCUCUUCAUCGUGGUUUAAAAAGAGUCAUUCACGUCACACAUCUAAGGCUUUAAGAGCUACACAAAGACAGAUUUCUUACUGUUGUUUUGAUGUAAUGUUGUAGCUGAUGAAUCCUAUCUCUGCCUAUUCAUCUUAGGAAUUUACAUCAAUGCUGCUGUCAGUUUAGUACAUGAUCAAUAGCACUAGGUUUGGACUGCAGGAGAAUACAUUAUUUUACCUGCUGCUCUUUGUUGCUGUGACUCAUUGUGCUGCUGUAUGAAAACCAGUGGAAGGGCUAGGUGUGUGACUCAGAAGUAAGAGGUUAAAGGUUAAAAGGAACAGCCAGCAAACCCUUGUUGUUAUAACGAUUCAUAGAUAAGUAAGGCAAAGGUUGGAGUAUUGUCUGUGCACUUUAAAUGGAAUGAAAUGGUUAUUACAUUAAAGCCACAACUUUCCCAUGGUGCACAUGCUGGAUUUUAAAAGCUCAUAUUACAUUAUCUUUGUGGAAAGCAAUAUAUGCU
Molecule: long non-coding RNA, 2531 nt
Organism: Astatotilapia calliptera (eastern happy)
Lineage: Eukaryota; Metazoa; Chordata; Actinopteri; Cichliformes; Cichlidae
Source: Ensembl